RNAcentral lists this ribosomal RNA (497 nucleotides) under uncultured bacterium. RNAcentral describes it as "partial 16S ribosomal RNA". It matches the Rfam family "Bacterial small subunit ribosomal RNA", at positions 28 to 507 of the family's 1533-position model. The record is from RNAcentral.
GAUGAACGCUGGCGGCGUGCCUAAUACAUGCAAGUCGAGCGAACAGAUGAGGAGCUUGCUCCUCUGACGUUAGCGGCGGACGGGUGAGUAACACGUGGAUAACCUACCUAUAAGACUGGGAUAACUUCGGGAAACCGGAGCUAAUACCGGAUAAUAUAUUGAACCGCAUGGUUCAAUAGUGAAAGACGGUUUUGCUGUCACUUAUAGAUGGAUCCGCGCCGCAUUAGCUAGUUGGUAAGGUAACGGCUUACCAAGGCAACGAUGCGUAGCCGACCUGAGAGGGGGAUCGGCCACACUAGAGCUGGGACACGGUCCAGACUCCUACGAGAGGCAGCAGUAGGGAAUCGUACGCAGUGGGCGAGAGCCUGGCGGAACGACGCCGCGUGUGUGAUGAAAGUCUUCGGAUCGGAAAACUCUGUUAUUAGGGAAGAACAAAUGUGUAAGGAAAUAUGCACGGCUUGACGGUACCUAAUAAGAAAGCCACGGCUAACUACGUG